GACAGAAGGUGCAAACGUUGUUCGGAAUUACUGGGCGUAAAGCGCGUGUAGGCUGCUUCGCAAGUCGGGUGUGAAAGCCCUGGGCUCAACCUAGGAAGUGCACUCGAAACUGCGGAGCUUGAGUCUCGGAGAGGAUCGCGGAAUUCUCGGUGUAGAGGUGAAAUUCGUAGAUAUCGAGAGGAACACCGGUGGCGAAGGCGGCGAUCUGGACGAUGACUGACGCUGAGACGCGAAAGCGUGGGGAGCAAACAGG
This 253-nucleotide ribosomal RNA is filed under the name uncultured bacterium. RNAcentral describes it as "partial 16S ribosomal RNA". It matches the Rfam family "Bacterial small subunit ribosomal RNA", at positions 524 to 776 of the family's 1533-position model. The record is from RNAcentral.